RNAcentral lists this long non-coding RNA (1078 nucleotides) under Nicotiana benthamiana. RNAcentral's name for it is "long non-coding RNA (NBEN_LNC032558)". The record is from RNAcentral. Lineage: Eukaryota; Viridiplantae; Streptophyta; Magnoliopsida; Solanales; Solanaceae.
UCUCUGAAUUCUCUCCUUCUCUGCUAUUUCUAUACUCUCUCAUUCUCUUGUUUGAACACUCAAUCGGCUGAAAAGCCAAGAUUGAGUAAACUUGGGUUGUUUACUCUUACACUAGUGGAUUCUAUUUCAUUGCUUACUUGGGUUUGCCUGCUGCUCUCUUUGCUGCACACUGCCCUUCUCACACUGUGUUGCACACUGCUAUUCUCUUUGCUGCUCACACUCUCUGCUCACUUUGCUCUCUGUGUGCAUUCUUGAUCUUUGCUCGUUGUGUUAUGUUUGUCUGCAAUCGGUAUGUUAUCUAUUUAGUGUAUAGUCCCCAAAACAAUAUGCUUUUGUUAAUCCUGCACUUCAUCUUGUUCCUUGUGUGCUUUUAUCUGUGGUUCUGCUGUUCUUAUUGUCACUAGUAUGCACUUACUAGCCUACUUAGCUUAGAUUAGCAUGUUUCUCUUACCCCUUCCCUGUCUCAAUGAAUGUUUACUUUUCCUUGUGCCUUACUACCACGUGUCCAGUGCUGCUUGGCUUCUUGAUUAGCCUAAAACCUCUGAUUAGCAUGUUCCCCUUACCCCUUCCCUGUCUCAAUGAAUGUUUACUUUUCCUUGUGCAUUACUACCAUCUGUCCAAGCCUGCUUGGCUACUUGAUCAGCCUAAAACCUCUUCCUGAGGUUAAGUGUAUUGGGGUUUGGUGUAGUAAGAACUGAACCCCUAUGUCUGAUUACCUGCCUUCACUAUGUUUGCCUAUGUGUGAGUAGAUCCCUGUACUUAUCUGUUCCCUUCCCCUUUGCCCCUGUUUGUAUGAUGCUAUGUUCUAAACUGGUUAGUACAAAUGAUUUCAAAAGAACUCCUUUCAACUCUUUCGACUUUCUUAAAAUAUUUUCUCAAACUAUCUCUCAAAUCUUUAUGCUGCUUUCAUAAAUUGACUCUCACAUGUUUUAAACUCUCUCAAUCCUAUCACAACAUCACUACUCAAUAUUUUCUAAAACUAUCUCUGAAAUCUUUCUGCUAUUUUCUUAAAUUGAAUCUCAACUGUUUUAAACUCUCUCAAUCCUAUCACAACUUCACUACUCUUAGAACACUAGGU